Molecule: microRNA, 22 nt
Filed under: Mus musculus (house mouse)
Lineage: Eukaryota; Metazoa; Chordata; Mammalia; Rodentia; Muridae
Description: mmu-miR-6362
Source: miRBase by way of RNAcentral
GUGGGCAUCUAGGCUAGUUCUG